GUGGGGAAUCUUGCGCAAUGGGCGAAAGCCUGACGCAGCCAUGCCGCGUGAAUGAUGAAGGUCUUAGGAUUGUAAAAUUCUUUCACCGGGGACGAUAAUGACGGUACCCGGAGAAGAAGCCCCGGCUAACUUCGUGCCAGCAGCCGCGGUAAUACGAAGGGGGCUAGCGUUGCUCGGAAUUACUGGGCGUAAAGGGCGCGUAGGCGGACAGUUUAGUCAGAGGUGAAAGCCCAGGGCUCAACCUUGGAAUUGCCUUUGAUACUGGCUGUCUUGAGUACGGGAGAGGUGAGUGGAACUCCGAGUGUAGAGGUGAAAUUCGUAGAUAUUCGGAAGAACACCAGUGGCGAAGGCGACUCACUGGCCCGUUACUGACGCUGAGGCGCGAAAGCGUGGGGUGCAAACAGGAUUAGAAACCCCAGUAGUCC
RNAcentral lists this ribosomal RNA (425 nucleotides) under uncultured bacterium. RNAcentral's name for it is "partial 16S ribosomal RNA". It matches the Rfam family "Bacterial small subunit ribosomal RNA", at positions 354 to 796 of the family's 1533-position model. The record is from RNAcentral.